RNAcentral lists this ribosomal RNA (289 nucleotides) under uncultured Pseudomonas sp. Its description in RNAcentral is "partial 16S ribosomal RNA". It matches the Rfam family "Bacterial small subunit ribosomal RNA", at positions 1097 to 1382 of the family's 1533-position model. The record is from RNAcentral. Lineage: Bacteria; Pseudomonadati; Pseudomonadota; Gammaproteobacteria; Pseudomonadales; Pseudomonadaceae.
CGCAACCUUCGUCCUUAGUUACCUAGCACGUUAUGGUGGGCGACUCUAAGGAGGACUGCCGGUGACAAACCGGAGGAAGGUGGGGAUGACGUCAAGUCAUCAUGGCCCUUACGGCCUGGGCUACACACGUGCUACAAUGGUCGGUACAAAGGGUUGCCAAGCCGCGAGGUGGAGCUAAUCCCAUAAAACCGAUCGUAGUCCGGAUCGCAGUCUGCAACUCGACUGCGUGAAGUCGGAAUCGCUAGUAAUCGUGAAUCAGAAUGUCACGGUGAAUACGUUCCCGGGCCUU